This 417-nucleotide ribosomal RNA is filed under the name Microhyla nilphamariensis. RNAcentral's name for it is "partial large subunit ribosomal RNA". It matches the Rfam family "Bacterial large subunit ribosomal RNA", at positions 1988 to 2571 of the family's 2925-position model. The record is from RNAcentral. Lineage: Eukaryota; Metazoa; Chordata; Amphibia; Anura; Microhylidae.
UAGUAUGAACGGCAUCACGAGGGUUACACUGUCUCCCUAUUCCAUUCAGUGAAAUUGAUCUUCCCGUGAAGAAGCGGGAAUAUAAAUAUAAGACGAGAAGACCCCAUGGAGCUUUAAACUCAGUGUCAUCUGCCACUUCAAUACCCUCUUAAUUACGCAGACCAUGAUAACUAGUUUUCGGUUGGGGUGACCGCGGAGUAAAACAAAACCUCCACAACGAAAGGAACUAACAACCUAAUCCAAGAGCAACAUCUCUAAGAAUCAACAAAUUGACUUAAUUGAUCCAAUUACUUGAUCAACGAACCAAGUUACCCUGGGGAUAACAGCGCAAUCCAUUUCAAGAGCUCAUAUCGACAAAUGGGUUUACGACCUCGAUGUUGGAUCAGGGUAUCCCAGUGGCGCAGCAGCUACUAACGG